Cryptomeria japonica (Japanese cedar) is the source of this 344-nucleotide long non-coding RNA. RefSeq lists it as uncharacterized. NCBI's taxonomy places the organism in Eukaryota, Viridiplantae, Streptophyta, Pinopsida, Cupressales, Cupressaceae. The transcript has 3 exons. The record is from RefSeq and is a predicted model, not a curated record.
CUCUUUUAUUAAUCAUUUUUAUUUUAGGCUUCGAGAACGAGCUGUUCGUCUUUGUUUCCUAUGAAUUUCGUGUGCUACUCCACUUCCUGAUAGAAUUGAUUUCUGAAGUCGUGUGGAGUGGGGCGAUCGAUUGAUUUCUGGUUCAAGCUCAUUGAUGUUUUGCUGAUUCUAGUCAGAAGAGAUGAUACAUAAUUGCAAAUAUCUCCAAGAUCAGGAGAGGCUGGCGAGAUUUCGGCUAUGGACUUCUUCGUGAGUACAGUGGGUCCAUUGAAAGAACCUCCUCUCGUUACUGCCAAUACUGUUCUGUAUCAAGGUAUGUAACAAAGUCUCUUCUCGAGGCAAAU